Molecule: unclassified non-coding RNA, 312 nt
Filed under: plant metagenome
Description: partial contains 5.8S ribosomal RNA, internal transcribed spacer 2, and large subunit ribosomal RNA
Rfam family: 5.8S ribosomal RNA (bases 1-105)
Source: RNAcentral
GAAAUGCGAUAAGUAAUGUGAAUUGCAGAAUUCCGUGAAUCAUCGAAUCUUUGAACGCACAUUGCGCCCUCUGGCAUUCCGGGGGGCAUGCCUGUCCGAGCGUCAUUACGCACCCUCAAGCCCGGCUUGUGUGAUGGGCCCUGGCGUCUCGUUCGCGAGACGGGCCCGAAAGGCAGCGGCGGCGUCGACCCGAUGAGCCCGCGCGUAUGGGGACUUUUGUCACACGUUUGCGGUGCGGACCGGCGCCUGCUUGACGUUUCUGAUUAUCCAGGUUGACCUCGGAUCAGGUAGGGAUACCCGCUGAACUUAAGC